UCUGGCUGUGCUUCCUUCCACUGGUCACUCUACUGUGAUUUAUCCCCAUUCACUCAAGUCACAAAGUGACUUGACCCUACAGCCAUAGCUGGGAUUAGUGCCCUGAGGUUCAGAUUUAUGGAGUCUAGUGCUGUCUGACAAAGUUUUCUGCAAUCUGGGAAGCAGACUCUGGGACAUCAGGUGAAUUGAUCUUGGGACUGAAUGAGCCAGGAAUGUUGAUGGUAGGCAGUAAUUGCAAACAAGAGCUCAGCAAUCCUCUUCCCAGUGUUGGUAUUCUCACUCACAAAUUCUGUCAUGCCUUCACGAUGCUCUAACAAAAACUGCUGCUCUAGGAGAAUAUGCUCUUGGAGAAAGAUUUGUGCUUUCUCUUUUUCCCAAAGCCAGGGACAUAAUUUUCUUUCUUUCACCUCAGGAAAGAUGCCAUCAACAAGGAUAAUGGACAAUAUAAAAGGAAUCCAGGAAGAGAAGUAAAGGAGCAGGAACAGUUGCAUCAGGAAGAAGCAAGUCAAAGAGAGAGGGGAGGGGAGAGUGGAGGAGAGAGCUGAUAGUGUCUCCACAACAGUUGUAAGUGCCACCCUAUCUCAUGGAGGCACACUUAGCUCCCCAUAAUGAAAGCAGCUUGCAUUGCAUGGGUGCCAGCCACACAAAUGCUGGAAGUUGCCUCACUUUGGCCAUCAUGUGCUUUCACAUUGCAGGGGGAAUGUGAGAGCUUGGGGCUGUUCCAGACCAGCCAUGGCUUUGAAGGGCCUCCUUUCCAUGCAUCCCACUGCUGACAGGACUGUGAGCAUGAGGCACUUUUCAGAUGACAGUGAGAAUGGAUUGUCAAACUGGACCACUAUGACAAUUUACUCUGGGGGAGAAAAUCCUGUGGGUGUUCAGAAGCUUUACUGUAAGUUAUAUUUGAUUAACUUAUCCUACUACUGACAAAUAAUUAGGUCAGCAAUUAAUUUCAAAAUGCAAAUGUGCUACAGGCCUUCAUAUUUUAAGAAAUUCCCUUUGUCUUUAGCUUCUACUUGUGUUGAAGUCUUAAUGGAUUUAGCUGAAUGAAGAAACAAAAUUAUGUUUUCUAAUGCUUUAUUUACUUGGUUGAGUUGGACUUUUUCAGCAAAUAUUGACAGCAAAUGUUUGUUCAGAAAUGAUCAUGUGGGAUGGAAUUAAUGGGGUAAGAAAAUGGAAGAGUAAUGAUGAACCACUCAUUUAAAAUAUAUAUACAUAUAUACAUAUAUACAUAUAUAUAUAUAUAUAUAUAUAUAUUCACAUUUCUGCUGCAAAAUAUUUAUCUACCUUCAUGAAAUAGGAACAGAAAGAAAAACAAGGGUCAAGAGGAGAUCAUUGUGGCAAAUUCAAUAGUACCUGCUUAAGCAGUCUAAGAAACCAGGAUAUAUCAUAAAAAACUCAUACCUAACAUUGAUACAAGUGUGUCUCAAAGAUACCUAUCUACCAGCCUUUCUCAGGGACUUUAUUAUUAAACAAACACAGAUUAAAGGCUCAACCCUUCCCAAGAGAAAUUCAAGGGAGUUUUAUGUUGACUUUAAGGGAGUGAGGAACCUAAGUCUGUAUUUUCUGUGAUUAAAAUCAUGCCAUUUUUUAGAAAAUAUUCAAAAUAUGCUGCUGUAAACAAAACCAACCAGCUAUCCUGAUUUACAAUCGAAAUGAAUUUACAUAGGUGGAAGAAUUAUAUUAGAAUUUUCUAUGUGUUAUUUUGCCCAAAUAUUUCAAGUCAAGCAGAAUAACCACUCAAAAAUUAGGUGAGGGUUUUUCACAAAAUUUUUACUGACUUGAAGAAAAAAAAAAUUAUAUGCUUAAUGAUGCAAGCCAAUUUGAAAGAAAUAAUGGUUUAAAAAAAGUCAGGUUUUGAGUUUUCUGGGCCUUUUUGGUUCAAAAUGGUGCUUUCACAUCACAUUUGCUUAAAUUAGUAAUGAAAAUAAUUACAUGAGAAAAAGAAAAAAACAGAAGAAAGAUAAAACUAAACAUUGCAUUUUUUAGGGGAUUUUAAUUUUAGAAUGAAAAAAGAGGGAGAAAGGGAAGAAUUGCAUGGGGUCAAAUGUGUCUCAUGCAUGGAAAAAGCUUGAUUUCCAUUCUCCUCCAAAACACCCAGGACCCUCUUUUCCUCUUAAGCAUCUCCUGAAGAACUUUGAAGAUUCCACUACGUAGGAGCAGGCAACACAAAACUGAAGCUUGAUUUUGAAUGAGGGAGAACCUCUCUCUCCCUCUCUCUUUCUCCUCCCAGAGUUAUAGGAAAGAAAAUGAGAACCAUAUCUGGGUGAGAGGGCUGAGCUGUUGGGAGCUGAGCAGCCAGAAGCUUUCUUGUAAGAUAAAGCAACAAUCAUGCUGCUCAGCUGUACACUGACAGGGACCCCAUUAAAGAAUCACUUUUCAAAAAAGAUACAGCUGCCUUCAAAAGCAUCCUAAGGAGAGAAGUGGAAAUGAUCAGAAAUUUGGGAAAUGUCACCUGCAAAGAAAUCUGAACUGGGGUGAUUUCAUCUGGAAAAGAAAAUGAGUGGACAUAAAACCCAAAUACUUCUAAUGUUAAAAGCCUUCUGGGAAGAGGCAGGGAAGAGUUUGUGUUUCAGGACUACAGCCAGAUGACAGAAAGUGACAGUACUACAUUGAAACAAAGGAGUCAGAUCAAAUGCUGGCCAAAAUUUUCUCACAGUGAAGACAUCGAAGCUGUGGAAAUUAUUGUUUUUGGAGGGUCUGGAGUCCCCCUCACUGAAGACCUUUGAGAAUAGGCUGCACAAGCUACUUUCCAAAAUAAUGUGAAUAUAGUUUUUAGCUGAAACCAAUUCCUUAGCAGUUAUUACAUUGAUAUUUUUAAUUGAUUUUAAGAAAUUGAAGGAACUCUUGCUUUUGUGGUAGGAUAAAAUAAACUUUUAAGUUAAUCUAGGGCA
Parus major (Great Tit) is the source of this 2891-nucleotide long non-coding RNA. The record is from Ensembl. Lineage: Eukaryota; Metazoa; Chordata; Aves; Passeriformes; Paridae.